CUAAGGCAAGGCCGAAAGGCGUAGUCGAUGGGAACCUGGUUAAUAUUCCAGGGCCUGGUGGAUGUGACGGAUCUCGUAAGUUGUUCUCUCUUAUCGGAUUGAGAGGGCUGCGAAGAGGUCCCAGGAAAUAACACCACCAAUAUAGACCGUACCCUAAACCAACACAGGUGGACUGGUAGAGUAUACCAAGGCGCUUGAGAGAAGUAUCCUGAAGGAACUCGGCAAAU
Molecule: ribosomal RNA, 227 nt
Filed under: Heterosigma akashiwo
Lineage: Eukaryota; Raphidophyceae; Chattonellales; Chattonellaceae
Description: partial Bacterial large subunit ribosomal RNA
Rfam family: Bacterial large subunit ribosomal RNA
Source: RNAcentral